RNAcentral lists this ribosomal RNA (253 nucleotides) under uncultured bacterium. RNAcentral's name for it is "partial 16S ribosomal RNA". It matches the Rfam family "Bacterial small subunit ribosomal RNA", at positions 524 to 776 of the family's 1533-position model. The record is from RNAcentral.
UACAGAGGGGGCAAGCGUUAUUCGGAAUUAUUGGGCGUAAAGGGCGCGUAGGCGGCCUGGCAAGUGGAAGGUGAAAUCCCUCGGCUUAACCGAGGAACUGCCUCCCAAACUGCUUGGCUUGAGACCAGGAGAGGUGAGUGGAAUUCCCAGUGUAGCGAUGAAAUGCGUAGAUAUUGGGAGGAACACCAGUGGCGAAGGCGGCUCACUGGACUGGUACUGACGCUGAGGCGCGAAAGCGUGGGGAGCAAACGGG